GGUUUCCGAUGUGACUGGCGACGAAGUGGGAAUAACCACGAUGGAGCAUCGGAACAUACGGCCGGUCGCCUGGGCAGAGAGC
Molecule: regulatory RNA element, 82 nt
Organism: Paenibacillus sp. D9
Lineage: Bacteria; Bacillati; Bacillota; Bacilli; Caryophanales; Paenibacillaceae
Rfam family: ZMP/ZTP riboswitch aptamer (pfl RNA motif)
About the family: Previously known as pfl RNA. ZMP is also known as AICAR.
Source: Rfam